GGAGUCUGGACCGUGUCUCAGUUCCAGUGUGGGGGACCUUCCUCUCAGAACCCCUAGCCAUCGUCGCCUCGGUGGGCCGUUACCCCGCCGACUAGCUAAUGGCACGCGAGCCUAUCCGUCACCAACGAAUCUUUCAACAACCGUCCAUGCGGACAACUGUGUUACGUGGUAUUACACACCGUUUCCAGUGCCUAUCCCACAGUGACGGGCAAGUUGCUCACGCGUUACGCACCCUUCCGCCGGUCGCCGCCAGUGUAUUGCUACACCGCGAUGCCCCUCGACUUGCAUGUGUUAAGCCUGCCGCUAGCGUUCAUC
Molecule: ribosomal RNA, 315 nt
Filed under: uncultured Bacteroidales bacterium
Lineage: Bacteria; Pseudomonadati; Bacteroidota; Bacteroidia; Bacteroidales
Description: partial 16S ribosomal RNA
Source: RNAcentral